UGGGGUUGUAGAUGUCUAGUCUCCUUUAUGGCUCUAUAAUCUGAUAGCGGUAGUGUGGUGGUAGAUGUCUAGUCUCCUUUAUGGCUCUAAUCUGAUAGUGGUAGAUGUCUAGUCUCCUUUAUGGUUCUAAUCUGAUAGUUGUAGUGGGGUGGUAGAUGUCUAGUCUCCUUUAUGGCUCUAAUCUGAUAGUGGUAGUGUGGUGGUAGAUGUCUCCUUUAUGUCUCUAAUCUGAUAGUGGUAGUGGGGUUGUAGAUGUCUAGCCUCCUUUAUGGCUCUAAUCUGAUAGUGGUAGAUGUCUAGCCUCCUUUAUGGUUCUAAUCUGAUAGUGGUAGUUGGUUGGUAGAUGUCUAGUCUCCUUUAUGGUUCUAAUAUGAUAGUGGUAGUGGGGUGGUAGAAGACUCCUUUAUGGCUCUAAUAUGAUAGUGGUAGUGGGGUGGUAGAUGUCUAGUCUCCUUUUUGGUUCUAAUCUGAUAGUGGUAGUGGGGUUGUAGAUGUUUAGCCUCCUUUAUGGCUCUAAUCUGAUAGUGGUAGUGGGGUGGUAGAUGGCUCCUUUAUGGCUCUAAUCUGAUAGUGGUGGAUGACUCCUUUAUGGCUCUAAUCUGAAAGUGAUAGUGGGGUGGUAGAAGACUCCUUUAUGGCUCUAAUCUGAAAGUGGUAGAUGACUCCUUUAUGGCUCUAAUCUGAUAGUAGUAGUGGGGAGGUAGAUGUCUAGGCUUCUUUAUGUCUCUAAUCUGACAGUGGUAGAUGUCUAGUCUCCUUUAUGGCUCUAAUCUGAUAGUGGUAGUUGUCUAGUCUCCUUUAUGGCUCUAAUCUGAUUGUGGUAGUGGGGUGGUAGAAGGCUCCUUUUGGCUCUAAUCUGAUAGUGGUAGUGGGGUGGUAGAUGUCUAGGCUCCUUUAUGGUUCUAAUCUGAUAGUGGUAGUGGGGUGGUAGAUGUCUAGCCUCCUUUAUGGCUCUAAUCUGAUAGUGGUAGAUGUCUAGUCUCCUUUAUGGUUCUAAUCUGAUAGUGGUAGUGGGGUGGUAGAUGUCUAGUCUCCUUUAUGGCUAUAAUCUGACAGUGGUAGUGUGGUGGUAGAUGUCUAGUCUCCUGUAUGGCUCUAAUCUGAUAGUUGUAGUGGGGUGGUAGAUGUCUAGUCUCCUUUAUGGUGCUAAUCUGAUAGUUGUAGUGGGGUGGUAGAUGUCUAGUCUCCUUUGUGGUUCUAAUAUGAUAGUGGGGUGGUAGAAGACUCCUUUAUGGCUCUAAUCUGAUAGUGGUAGAUGUCCCCUUUAUGGCUCUAAUCUGAUAGUGGUAGAUGUCCCCGUUAUGGCUCUAAUCUGAUAGUGGUAGUGUGGUGGUAGAUGUCUAGUCCCGUUUAUGGCUCUAAUCUGAUAGUGGUAGAUGUCUGGUCUCCUUUAUGGUUCUAAUCUGAUAGUGGUAGUUGGUUGGUAGAUGUCUAGUCUCCUUUAUGGUUCUAAUAUGAUAGUGGUAGUGGGGUGGUAGAUGACUCCUUUAUGGCUCUAAUCUGAUAGUGGUAGUGGGGUGGUAGAAGACUCCUUUAUGGCUCUAAUAUGAUAGUGGUAGUGGGGUGGUAGAUGUCUAGUCUCCUUUAUGGCUCUAAUCUGAUAGUGGUAGAUGACUCCUUUAUGGCUCUAAUCUGAAAGUGAUAGUGGGGUGGUAGAUGUCUCCUUUAUGGCUCUAAUCUGAAAGUGGUAGAUGACUCCUUUAUGGCUCUAAUCUGAUAGUAGUAGUGUGGUGGUAGAUGUCUAGGCUUCUUUAUGUCUCUAAUCUGACAGUGGUAGAUGUCUAGUCUCCUUUAUGGCUCUAAUCUGAUAGUGGUAGUUGUCUAGUCUCCUUUAUGGCUCUAAUCUGACAGUGGUAGUGGGGUGG
Oncorhynchus tshawytscha (Chinook salmon) is the source of this 1865-nucleotide long non-coding RNA. The record is from Ensembl. NCBI's taxonomy places the organism in Eukaryota, Metazoa, Chordata, Actinopteri, Salmoniformes, Salmonidae.